GAAUCCGCUAAGGAGUGUGUAACAACUCACCUGCCGAAUGAAUUAGCCCUGAAAAUGGAUGGCGCUCAAGCGGGUGGCCGACACCACGCCGUCUGGCCAAUUUAUUGCAGUCAGAUGAGUAGGAGGGCGUGACGGCCGUGCCGAAGCAUGCGUGCAGACGCCUGUGGAACGGCCGUUAGUGCAGAUCUUGGUGGUAGUAGCAAGUAUUCAAGCGAGAUCCUUGAAGGGCGAAGCGGGGAAGGGUUCCACGCGAACAUUGAUUGGGCGUGGGUGAGUCGUUCCUAAGCCGAGUGGCAAUUGCUAAGUAUCGGCGAAAGGGAAGCGGGUUGACAUUCCCGCACACGGAUGUGGAGGCGGUGACGCACAAUGCGGCGAACACGCUGGCGACGGCGCUGGGCAGAGUUGUCUUUUCUGUUUGACCUACUCAGCGCGCGGUGUGGAAUCCGCUUGUCGGGAGAAACACGCGUGCCGGGGCAGAGCGCCGGGCCUUUUCCGGCGUCCAGCUCGCCGUCGACGGCCCUUGAAACUUUGCCUGCUGAAUCAUUUCUAUGCUUUUGAUAAAAUCCACGCCGUGGCGUACCGAUCACCGCAUCAGGUCCCCGAGGUGAACAGCCUCUGCUCAAUAUGAACAAUGCAGGUAAGGGAAGUCGGCA
RNAcentral lists this ribosomal RNA (653 nucleotides) under Gigartinales sp. ARS-2011. RNAcentral's name for it is "eukaryotic LSU rRNA". It matches the Rfam family "Eukaryotic large subunit ribosomal RNA", at positions 1264 to 1919 of the family's 3401-position model. The record is from RNAcentral. Lineage: Eukaryota; Rhodophyta; Florideophyceae; Gigartinales.